Molecule: long non-coding RNA, 230 nt
Filed under: Nicotiana benthamiana
Lineage: Eukaryota; Viridiplantae; Streptophyta; Magnoliopsida; Solanales; Solanaceae
Description: long non-coding RNA (NBEN_LNC026210)
Source: RNAcentral
AUGGGAUUUGCCUAGACUCAGCACUGAGGUUUGCCCCGCCUAACCGGGAUUUGCCUAGACUCAGUCGAACUCUGACCCAUCAUUGGUAUGGCUGAUACAAGAGUGGCUCUGAUACCAUCUGUAACAGUCCAGCCCGCUAGUGAUAUUGUCCGCUCUGGGUCUAGGUCGUCACGGGUUUAAAACGCGUCACUGGGUUUUAAAACGCGUAACAAGCCUUAAUUAUGUUAGGA